Molecule: ribosomal RNA, 878 nt
Filed under: uncultured eukaryote
Lineage: Eukaryota
Description: SSU rRNA
Rfam family: Eukaryotic small subunit ribosomal RNA
Source: RNAcentral
CGGUGUUCAACUGGCGUGUCCGCGGGACGUCCUGCCGGUGGGCCUAGCCCGCAAGGGCGGCCCAACUUCAAAUCCCAUCGCGGUGCUCUUCACUGAGUGUCGAGGUGGGCCGGCACGUUUACUUUGAACAAAUUAGAGUGCUUAAAGCAGGCUAAAACUUCGCCUGAAUACUGUGUGCAUGGAAUAAUGGAAUAGGACCUCGGUUCUAUUUUGUUGGUUUUCGGAACCCCGAGGUAAUGAUUAAUAGGAACGGAUGGGGGCAUUCGUAUUGCGACGUUAGAGGUGAAAUUCUUGGAUCGUCGCAAGACGGACAGAAGCGAAAGCAUUUGCCAAAAACGCUUUCAUUGAUCAAGAACGAAAGUUAGAGGUUCGAAGGCGAUCAGAUACCGCCCUAGUUCUAACCAUAAACGAUGCCGGCUAGCGAUCCGUCGACGUUCCUCCGAUGACUCGACGGGCAGCUUCCGGGAAACCAAAGCUUUUGGGUUCCGGGGGAAGUAUGGUUGCAAAGCUGAAACUUAAAGGAAUUGACGGAAGGGCACCACCAGGAGUGGAGCCUGCGGCUUAAUUUGACUCAACACGGGAAACCUCACCAGGCCCGGACACCGGAAGGAUUGACAGAUUGAGAGCUCUUUCUUGAUUCGGUGGGUGGUGGUGCAUGGGCCGUUCUUAGUUGGUGGAGCGAUUUGUCUGGUUAAUUCCGAUAACGAACGAGACUCUAGCCUGCUAACUAGGCGUAUUUUCGACAUCUCAAAGGUCCGUCGUCCCGGCCCUCGGGUCGUGGGCGUGCGCGAUUUUUACUGUCGGCGUACUAUCAAUUCUUCUUAGAGGGACAGGUGGCUUCUAGCCGCACGAGAUUGAGCAAUAACAGGUCUGUGAUG